This 692-nucleotide ribosomal RNA is filed under the name Bacillus sp. FJAT-4645. RNAcentral describes it as "bacterial SSU rRNA". It matches the Rfam family "Bacterial small subunit ribosomal RNA", at positions 56 to 729 of the family's 1533-position model. Lineage: Bacteria; Bacillati; Bacillota; Bacilli; Caryophanales; Bacillaceae. The record is from RNAcentral.
UGCAGUCGAGCGAAUGGAUUGAGAGCUUGCUCUCAAGAAGUUAGCGGCGGACGGGUGAGUAACACGUGGGUAACCUGCCCAUAAGACUGGGAUAACUCCGGGAAACCGGGGCUAAUACCGGAUAACAUUUUGAACUGCAUGGUUCGAAAUUGAAAGGCGGCUUCGGCUGUCACUUAUGGAUGGACCCGCGUCGCAUUAGCUAGUUGGUGAGGUAACGGCUCACCAAGGCAACGAUGCGUAGCCGACCUGAGAGGGUGAUCGGCCACACUGGGACUGAGACACGGCCCAGACUCCUACGGGAGGCAGCAGUAGGGAAUCUUCCGCAAUGGACGAAAGUCUGACGGAGCAACGCCGCGUGAGUGAUGAAGGCUUUCGGGUCGUAAAACUCUGUUGUUAGGGAAGAACAAGUGCUAGUUGAAUAAGCUGGCACCUUGACGGUACCUAACCAGAAAGCCACGGCUAACUACGUGCCAGCAGCCGCGGUAAUACGUAGGUGGCAAGCGUUAUCCGGAAUUAUUGGGCGUAAAGCGCGCGCAGGUGGUUUCUUAAGUCUGAUGUGAAAGCCCACGGCUCAACCGUGGAGGGUCAUUGGAAACUGGGAGACUUGAGUGCAGAAGAGGAAAGUGGAAUUCCAUGUGUAGCGGUGAAAUGCGUAGAGAUAUGGAGGAACACCAGUGGCGAAGGCGACUUUC